This 931-nucleotide ribosomal RNA is filed under the name Agaricus bitorquis. RNAcentral's name for it is "LSU rRNA". It matches the Rfam family "Eukaryotic large subunit ribosomal RNA", at positions 41 to 959 of the family's 3401-position model. Lineage: Eukaryota; Fungi; Basidiomycota; Agaricomycetes; Agaricales; Agaricaceae. The record is from RNAcentral.
UAUCAAUAAGCGGAGGAAAAGAAACUAACAAGGAUUCCCCUAGUAACUGCGAGUGAAGCGGGAAAAGCUCAAAUUUAAAAUCUGGCGGUCUUUUGCCGUCCGAGUUGUAAUCUAGAGAAGUAAUGCCCGUGCUGGACCGUGUAUAAGUCUCCUGGGAUGGGGCGUCAUAGAGGGUGAGAAUCCCGUCUUUGACACGGACUACCAGUGCAUUGUGGUAUGCUCUCAAAGAGUCGAGUUGUUUGGGAAUGCAGCUCAAAAUGGGUGGUAAAUUCCAUCUAAAGCUAAAUAUUGGCGAGAGACCGAUAGCGAACAAGUACCGUGAGGGAAAGAUGAAAAGAACUUUGGAAAGAGAGUUAAACAGUACGUGAAAUUGCUGAAAGGGAAACGCUUGAAGUCAGUCGCGUUGGCCAGGGAUCAGCCUUGCUUUUGCAUGGUGUAUUUUCUGGUUAACGGGUCAGCAUCAAUUUUGACCACUGGAAAAGGGCCUGGGGAAUGUGGCAGCUUAGGCUGUGUUAUAGCCCCUGGUCGCAUACAGUGGUUGGGAUUGAGGAAUUCAGCACGCCGCAAGGCCGGGUUUCGACCACGUUCGUGCUUAGGAUGCUGGCAUAAUGGCUUUAAGCGACCCGUCUUGAAACACGGACCAAGGAGUCUAACAUGCCUGCGAGUAUUUGGGUGGAAAACCCGAGUGCGCAAUGAAAGUGAAAGUUGAGAUCCCUGUCGUGGGGAGCAUCGACGCCCGGACCAGAACUUUUGGGACGGAUCCGCGGUGGAGCAUGUAUGUUGGGACCCGAAAGAUGGUGAACUAUGCCUGAAUAGGGUGAAGCCAGAGGAAACUCUGGUGGAGGCUCGUAGCGAUUCUGACGUGCAAAUCGAUCGUCAAAUUUGGGUAUAGGGGCGAAAGACUAAUCGAACCAUCUAGUAGCUGGUCCUG